ACAGUACAUAGAGAGAACAAUACAGUAUGUAGACAGUACAAUACAGUACAAUACAAGAACAAUACAAUACAUAGACAGUACAAUACAGUACAUAGACAGUACAAUACAAUACAUAGUACCAUACAGUACAAUACAGUACAUAGACAGUACAAUACAAUACAUAGACAGUACCAUACAGUACAAUACAAGUACAAUACAGUACAUAGACAGUACAAUACAAUACAUAGACAGUACCAUACAGUACAAUACAGUACAUAGACAGUACCAUACAGUACAAUACAGUACAUAGACAGUACAAUACAGUACAUAGAGAGAACAAUACAGUAUGUAGACAGUACAAUACAGUACAUAGACAGUACAAUACAGUACAAUACAGUACAUAGACAGUACCAUACAGUACAAUACAGUACAUAGACAGUACAAUACAAUACAUAGAGAGAACAAUACAGUACAUAGAGAGUACAAUACAGUACAUAGACAGUACAAUACAAUACAUAGUACCAUACAGUACAAUACAGUACAUAGACAGUACAAUACAAUACAUAGACAGUACCAUACAGUACAAUACAAUACAUAGACAGUACAAUACAAUACAUAGACAGUACCAUACAGUACAAUACAAUACAUAGACAGUACAAUGCUGUACAUAUACAGUACAAUACAGUACAUUGACAGAACAAUACAGUACAUACAGUAUACAUAAAAUGUGCAAUACAGUACAAUACAGUACAUAGACAGUAAAAUAUAGUACAUAGACAGUAAAAUACAGUACAUAGACAGUACAAUAAGUACAAUGCAGUACAUAGACUGUACAAUACAAUACAUAAUUAGUACAAUACAGUACAUACAGUAUACAUAAAAUGUGCAAUACAGUACAAUACAGUACAUAGAGAGUACAAUACAGUAUGUAGACAGUACAAUACAGUACAUAGAGAGUACAAUACAGUAUGUAGACAGUACAAUACAGUACAUAGACAGUACAAUACAGUACAUAGACAGUACAAUACAAUACAUAGACAGUACCAUAUAGUACAAUACAGUACAUAGACAGUACAAUACAGUACAUAGACAGUACAAUACAAUACAUAGACAGUACCAUAUAGUACAAUACAAUACAUAGACAGUACCAUAUAGUACAAUACAAUACAUAGAC
Molecule: long non-coding RNA, 1153 nt
Organism: Oncorhynchus tshawytscha (Chinook salmon)
Lineage: Eukaryota; Metazoa; Chordata; Actinopteri; Salmoniformes; Salmonidae
Source: Ensembl